AGCUCCUGUAGCCGCUCUCGGAACUGGAUGUGGAAAACUCCCAGCUGCUCUGCAAGCCACUUCCCAUGGUUGGUCUUUCCAGAGCCUCUCACUCCAAGCAUGAAGACACGCAGCGCAGCAUAUUCAUCCAGACAAGGUUGUAGCGUACCCCUCUCCUUCAGCACCACUGGACAAAAAUGCUUGGUGUCUCCCAGCUGCCUCUUAAAGCUGACUUCCUCCUGAGACCAUCAUAAACAAAAGAGUGGCGAGCCAGCACCGCUCGAUCCACCUCUUCCUUAUUCUGUUCAUACAUCCUGGUUAGUACAGUCCUUCCUUCAAUAAACAACAAGUGACCAGUGACCAUCACAAUCAAGUGGACUUAAUGGCCUAAACAAGCAUAGGCUGUAUCCUUUGAUGUCAAAAUCAGAACUA
Molecule: long non-coding RNA, 411 nt
Organism: Rhinichthys klamathensis goyatoka
Lineage: Eukaryota; Metazoa; Chordata; Actinopteri; Cypriniformes; Leuciscidae
Exons: 3
Source: RefSeq, a predicted model, not a curated record